UUUCCCCCGUUUAGGACCUUCUGGGAGGUUCGGUAGCAGGGCACAGGUCGCCCAGGUCUUAUCUGCCUGUUUUUCUCCUCUCCCAAGGAGACUCAAAGGACAGCUGAAGAAUCCCAAAGAUUGUGAUAUUCCAAGAUUAAAAGCAGCAGCGCAGGCGCCUCUGGAAGCGAAUGGGCUCUCUGUGCCAGCCACCGCACAGCUCCAAGUGUGUUGAGCAGGUUUCCCAAAAUGCUCCAUCAUGGAGGAGGAUGGGAAGGAAAACCYCUAUGAUGAGAGGGACGCACUGAAUGGACACUGAGGA
Long non-coding RNA from Nothoprocta perdicaria, 301 nucleotides. RefSeq lists it as uncharacterized. NCBI's taxonomy places the organism in Eukaryota, Metazoa, Chordata, Aves, Tinamiformes, Tinamidae. The record is from RefSeq and is a predicted model, not a curated record. The transcript is spliced from 3 exons.